This is a non-coding RNA of Phascolarctos cinereus (koala), 1231 nucleotides long. The record is from RefSeq and is a predicted model, not a curated record. Lineage: Eukaryota; Metazoa; Chordata; Mammalia; Diprotodontia; Phascolarctidae.
UGAUUGUGGAGUAGAAGAGAGAGAAAGAAAGCCAAAAAUGUUGAGAGGAGUUGGAGAUCUCUCUACUUCUACAAUCUAUGGUGUCAAUGCAGAUCAAUCUUCUGAGCUUCAAGACUUUACUCAAAUCACUUCAUUUCCUUUGUGUCUUGGCUAGAAGAUUAGAUUAAAACCAGAACCUCAGUGAAAAGCAGAUGCUGUGAGAACUUCGUGCCUGACAUCUACCUGCCCGCCCAUGGACCCCAAAUGUAACUACAGGAAUGGUGGUUCUUGCACCUAUGCAGGCUCCUGCAAGCACAAAUCAUGCCAGUGUUCCUCCUGCAAGAAGAGCUGCUGCUUCUGCUGCCCAGGAGAAUGUACCAAGUGUAUCCAGAGCUUUGUCUGCAAAGACCCCCAAAUCUGGAGUUGCAGCUGCUGCCAAUAAUGUCCUCAUUUCCCUUUGACUGUAAAUAGAAGAAUUUGUGCAGACCUGAAUUUUCGUACAGCAUGGAUGUGUUUUCUACUGUUUUUCUAUAAAAUGUAUAAAUUAAAAGAAACUUGAUAAAUACCUUUAAAAAAAAUAUGAAACAUCUGUCCAAAUCUGUUCUCUGUCCUCUAAAUUCCCUAGGCUUUCUGAUACCAUUGCAUAGCUUAUCUCACAUCUGAUUUUGUAUUGUAUAUGUUUUAUAUAUUCUUAGAUAUGUGUGUGUUCCCUAACAGAAUGUAAUUGUCUUGAAGACAGGAACUUUUAUUUUAGAUUUUUUGUCUCCAGGACCUAACAUCAUGCUUGCCACAUGGUGGGUGCUUAAUAAAUGCUUGUUGGGUGAUUUUUAUAGGAGAAAUCAUUCUCUUGUUUCCUGGUUGUUUCUGUGUAGUUGUGCCAUUUUAAUUGAUGUUGUAUUUUGGAAUGUCCCUAAAACAUAUUUCCUGGCUGUCUUGAUUAUAGUACAAUCCUUUUUGUUUACCAUGUUGAAACUACAAUUAUUUCUGAGAUUUAAAGAAUCAUAAAACUACAGAUUAGAACUAUGAGAGACCUCAGAGGUAAAUUACUCCAUUUUAUUGAUGAAGAAACUGAGAUCCAGAGAUAUUAAGUGACUUGCCCAGGUAGAGCAAGAUUUGAACCCAAGUCCUCUGCUGCCAAAUGUAGCUUCCCUUCUGUUUUGUAACUUAUUUGGAUGUGCUGUUCAUUGUGGAAUGGUGUGGCUCACAAAGAGGUGGUAUGACUUAAUGGAUAACAUGCUAGAUUUGGAGUCAG